UGGGGAAUCUUGCACAAUGGAGGAAACUCUGAUGCAGCGACGCCGCGUGAGCGAUGAAGCCCUUCGGGGUGUAAAGCUCUUUCGACGGGAACGAUAAUGACGGUACCCGAAGAAGAAGCUGCGGCUAACUACGUGCCAGCAGCCGCGGUAAUACGUAGGCAGCAAGCGUUGUUCGGAAUUACUGGGCGUAAAGAGUGUGUAGGCGGUGUUCUAAGUUUGUCGUGAAAUCUCCCGGCUUAACUGGGAGGGUGCGGCGAAAACUGGAAUGCUAGAGGAUGGGAGAGGUAAGCGGAAUUCCUGGUGUAGCGGUGAAAUGCGUAGAUAUCAGGAGGAACACCUGUGGUGUAGACAGCUUACUGGACCAUUUCUGACGCUGAGACACGAAAGCGUGGGUAGCAAACAG
This 403-nucleotide ribosomal RNA is filed under the name uncultured bacterium. Its description in RNAcentral is "bacterial SSU rRNA". It matches the Rfam family "Bacterial small subunit ribosomal RNA", at positions 355 to 775 of the family's 1533-position model. The record is from RNAcentral.